RNAcentral lists this ribosomal RNA (468 nucleotides) under uncultured bacterium. Its description in RNAcentral is "partial 16S ribosomal RNA". It matches the Rfam family "Bacterial small subunit ribosomal RNA", at positions 28 to 507 of the family's 1533-position model. The record is from RNAcentral.
GACGAACGCUGGCGGCGUGCUUAACACAUGCAAGUCGAACGGAAAGGCCCUGCUUUUGUGGGGUGCUCGAGUGGCGAACGGGUGAGUAACACGUGAGUAACCUUCCCUUGACUUUGGGAUAACUUCAGGAAACUGGGGCUAAUACCGGAUAGGAGCUCCUGCUGCAUGGUGGGGGUUGGAAAGUUUCGGCGGUUGGGGAUGGACUCGCGGCUUAUCAGCUUGUUGGUGGGGUAGUGGCUUACCAAGGCUUUGACGGGUAGCCGGCCUGAGAGGGUGACCGGCGACAUUGGGACUGAGAUACGGCCCAGACUCCUACGGGAGGCGGCAGUGGGGAAUAUUGCACAAUGGGCGGAAGCCUGAUGCAGCAACGCCGCGUGCGGGAUGACGGCCUUCGGGUUGUAAACCGCUUUCGCCUGUGACGAAGCGUGAGUGACGGUAAUGGGUAAAGAAGCACCGGCUAACUACGUG